UUACAAUUAACAACACAAGAUCCUUAAUUUCAACUAUCAAUACCAUGGCUUCUUUCUUAGUACCAUUCAAACUCAUCUUCUUUCUCAUCUUUGUAUUUUUCCAUGCUUGCUCUUCGUCAUCCUCCAUAACUUCCAUGGAAGCUGAAACUCUUUUAAAAUGGAAAGCUAGCCUCGACAACACCACACAAACUUUGCUCUCUUCUUUGUGGGUCGGAAGUAGCCACUGCAAUUGGGUUGGAAUCACUUGCAACAAUGCCGGAAGCGUCACCAACCUAAGCCUUGCAGAGUAUGAUUUGAGAUUGAGAGGUACACUUCACCAUCUCAACUUCCUUUCCUUGCCUAACUUGAUUAGGCUUCACCUUCGAAACAACUCAUUGUAUGGGCCCAUUCCUUCGCACAUUGGAAAUCUUUCCAAACUCAUUUUCCUUGACUUGUCAUACAAUUACUUCUCAGGACAUAUCCCUUCUGAAAUUUGCUUGUUGAGAAGUCUUCAAUUGAUCUCCUUAAUAGUAAAUAAGAUUAGUGGUCCCAUUCCACAAGAAAUAGGAAAUCUGAGUACAGUUUCUAAUAUCUAUUUCUAUGGUAACUAUCUAAGUGGUCCAAUCCCUGCCUCUAUAGGAAGAUUGCAUAAUUUAUACAGGCUUGACCUUAAUAGCAACCGACUCAAUGGUUUUAUACCUAAACAAGUUGGAACGUUGAGGUCACUUUAUAUGUUGGACUUGUCAGGAAACAGCUUAACUGGUCCUAUACCGGCAUCUAUAGGGAACUUAAGUAACUUGGUGUAUCUUUUCUUGUAUAAUAAUCAUCUUUCUGGUUCUAUUCCCAAUGAAAUUGGAGGGCUCAAAUCACUUUUCACGAUCCAGUUCUCGAAAAAUAAUCUCAGUGGCGUCAUCCCUAAGUCCAUAGGAAACUUGACCAAGUUAUUUAGUGUCAUGCUUGAUACAAAUGCCAUUUCUGGUUCAAUACCUCGAGAGAUAGGAAUGCUUAAAUCUCUCAACUUUUUGCUUUUGGCUGCUAACUCAAUCUCUGGUCCAAUCCCUACUUCCAUGGGAAACUUGACCAACUUAACUACUCUGAGCCUUUCUCACAAUAUGUUUUUUGGAUUGAUACCUAAAGAGGUAGGGAUGCUUAAAUCUCUCAGUGAAUUGGAUCUGUCUAGUAACACAUUCUCUGGACAAAUCCCUACUUCCAUAGGAAACUUGAGCAGCUUAUCAGGACUUUUCCUAGGUGAAAAUAGUUUGUCAGGCCCCAUUCCUCCAAUAUACAAUAAUCUUACUGAUCUCCAAUUAUCAGACAACCAUCUCACUGGUCCAUUACCAGAAAAUUUAUGCCUCGGUGGAGUACUCACUCGACUUGCAGUGAUCAACAACAAUUUGUCAGGUCCUAUCCCAUCAAGUUUGAGAAACUGCAAAAGCUUAAUCAGAGUUAGGGUGGAUGGAAACCAUUUGACAGGAAAUAUAUCAGAAGUUUUUGGUAUAUAUCCACAUUUGAAUUAUGCUUCAUUAAGCAACAACAAUUUUUAUGGUGAACUUUCUCCAAAUUGGGGGCAAUGUCAUAAUCUAACAAGCCUACGGGUCUCCAACAAUAACAUUUCUGGAAAGAUUCCAUUCGAAUUGGGACAUGCAACCCAGUUACAAGAACUUGAUCUUUCUUCGAAUCAUCUAGUCGAUGAGAUUCCCAUGGAACUGGGAGCAUUGAAAAUGAUGACCCGUCUUUUGCUAAGUGGUAACGAAAUUUCAGGCAGAAUUCCUUCAGAGAUUGGACUUCUUUCAAAUCUAGAACAACUUAACUUGGCUUCAAACAAUUUAAGAGGGCCUAUUCCUGAUGAUCUUGGAAAUUGCUCGAAGUUAUUCAUUUUGAAUUUGAGCAAGAACAAUCUCGGAGAGAGCAUUCCAUCUUCAAUAAGCUACAUCGAUGCUCUUCAAAGUCUAGAUUUGAGUCAGAAUUCAUUUUGUGGAAAUAUCCCACAACAGUUCGGAAAGUUACAGUCCUUGGAAAUGUUGAACCUUUCUCACAAUAUGCUCAAUGGUUCCAUCCCAAAAGCUUUCAAUGAUUUACAUGGGUUAAGAUUUGUGAAUAUAUCUCACAAUCAAUUAGAAGGCCCUAUUCCAGACCUUAAGGCAUUUCACGAGGCAUCAUUCAAUGCCUUAAGGAACAAUAAAGGCCUAUGUGGUAACGCCACUGGACUAAUGCCUUGCGUUCUUCCUUCUCGAGACAACCAUGGUCAUAAAAAAAGCACCAAACUGAUCAUUUUAUUUGUGCUUCCACUGUUUGGUGGUCUAUUGUUUUUGUUGUUUAUAUUGGUUACAAGUUUCCUUACUUUUUGCAAGAAAACACCAACAAAAAAAUCCGAGCCAAUGGAGGAACAAGAUGGUGAUAUUUUCACUAUAUUGGGAUUUAAUGGAAGAAUACUCCAUGACAGCAUCAUUGAAGCCACUGAAGAUUUCAGCUCUGACUAUUGCAUUGGUUCAGGAGGAUACGGAAGUGUUUAUAAAGCUGCAUUACCAACUGGCCAAGUGGUUGCUGUGAAGAAACUUCACCAGUCUGAAGACAGCAUACUCAUUAACAACUUGAAAGCCUUUGAAAGCGAGAUUAUUGCUUUAUUAGAAUUAAGGCAUCGUAACAUUGUACAGAUGUAUGGUUUUUGUUCACACCCAAAGCAUUCUUUUCUGAUUUAUGAGUUCAUGGAAAGGGGAAGCUUGAGAAUGGUCUUAAGCAACAAUGAACAAGCAAAGGAAUUGGAUUGGAAGAAGAGGCUAAAUGUUGUUAAAGGAUUGGCUAAUACUUUGUCUUAUAUGCACCAUGAGCAUUCACAACCUAUAGUUCAUCGAGACAUUUCCAGCAACAAUGUUCUCUUGGAUUUGGACUAUGAAGCUCGUGUCUCUGAUUUCGGCACUGCUAGGAUUUUAAAGCCUGACUCCUCCAAUUGGACUUCACUUGCGGGCACCUACGGGUAUAUAGCUCCAGAGUUGGCUUAUACAAUGCGAGUAGAUGAGAAAUGUGAUGUCUACAGUUUUGGGGUGCUAACGAUAGAAGUUCUCAUGGGGACGCAUCCCGGCGAUCUUCUUUCAUAUUUGUCAUCAUCUGCAUCGGCAUCGGCAUUGCCAUUUAUGUCAAAUGACCAACAUGUUUUACUUAAAGAUGUGAUAGAUCAACGUCUCUCACCACCAGAAAUUGAAGCUGCAGAGGGCGUAGUCUCUACUAUAAAGAUAGCAUUUGCAUGCCUGAAUGGCAAUCCCCAAUAUCGGCCAACCAUGAAACAAGUUGCUCAAGCCCUUUCUCGUCAAUCCCUUCCAUUGUCAAGUCCUUUCUCGACCGUAAAAUUGGGAGAGUUGUUGGGUCAUGUAACUUGCAAUGGCUGAGUAAGGUGCUACAAUUUGGGUCAUAUUCCCAAGUAAGGUCUGACUCGGGUCCGUAGCAGGAUUGCAAGUAUUUUCCUAGUUUCACUACUUGGAAUAGAAGAAAGCAUUGAAGUUGUUGAGUACUUUUCAUGUUUGUUAAGUUACUGCUUGUACUCAAUUCCCGUUUUAGUGUUUUUGAGGCUGGCAUGGCUGAGGCUAUAGAAUUGUUCGGGAGGCUUUAUCCUGGCUUUAUUCGGUUUAGUGAUUGCUGAUUGUCGGCAAUUGCAAACUGAUUUUCAGCACCUUUCGUUCUCUUGGAUUCAAAGAGCACCAAUUGGCACGAAUAGCCCAUAUCUUUUUUCUUAGCUUGUUUACAGAUGUUACUGCUCCAUCUUGUUUAUGUUCUUUUCUUUUCCGCUGAUGCUUAUGGUGUAACCUCUGAUGAAGGGCUUUAGGUAAUGGGUGUAUGGGGUUUAGCCUAUUGGCUAGGGGUUAGUUAAGUCCUUUCUCAUUGAUGGUUUUUUGUUUUGUUGAUGUUUGAAUAUGUGAGUUCAAUUUCAAAAAUGGUAAUGAAAAAUAAAAUAAAAUUGCUUUAGCCUUUCAAAAUAA
RNA transcript from Gossypium raimondii (Peruvian cotton), 3950 nucleotides. It is a transcript of the gene named MDIS1-interacting receptor like kinase 2, with no coding region annotated. The transcript has 4 exons. Lineage: Eukaryota; Viridiplantae; Streptophyta; Magnoliopsida; Malvales; Malvaceae. The record is from RefSeq and is a predicted model, not a curated record.